This 446-nucleotide ribosomal RNA is filed under the name uncultured bacterium. Its description in RNAcentral is "bacterial SSU rRNA". It matches the Rfam family "Bacterial small subunit ribosomal RNA", at positions 28 to 457 of the family's 1533-position model. The record is from RNAcentral.
GAUGAACGCUGGCGGCGUGCUUAACACAUGCAAGUCGAACGGGAAGCCUUUUAUUGAAGCUUCGGCAGAUUUAGCUGGUUUCUAGUGGCGGACGGGUGAGUAACGCGUGGGUAACCUGCCCUAUGCAGGGGGAUAACAACCAGAAAUGGUUGCUAAUACCGCAUAAGCGCACAGGACCGCAUGGUCCGGUGUGAAAAACUCCGGUGGUAUAGGAUGGACCCGCGUUGGAUUAGCUAGUUGGUGAGGUAACGGCCCACCAAGGCGACGAUCCAUAGCCGACCUGAGAGGGUGACCGGCCACAUUGGGACUGAGACACGGCCCAAACUCCUACGGGAGGCAGCAGUGGGGAAUAUUGCACAAUGGGCGAAAGCCUGAUGCAGCGACGCCGCGUGAGCGAAGAAGUAUUUCGGUAUGUAAAGCUCUAUCAGCAGGGAAGAUAAUGACGG